Molecule: ribosomal RNA, 367 nt
Filed under: Enterobacter sp. SB39
Lineage: Bacteria; Pseudomonadati; Pseudomonadota; Gammaproteobacteria; Enterobacterales; Enterobacteriaceae
Description: bacterial SSU rRNA
Rfam family: Bacterial small subunit ribosomal RNA
Source: RNAcentral
CAGAGACUUUCCAGAGAUGGAUUGUCUGCCUUCGGGAACUCUGAGACAGGUGCUGCAUGGCUGUCGUCAGCUCGUGUUGUGAAAUGUUGGGUUAAGUCCCGCAACGAGCGCAACACUUAUCCUUUGUUGCCAGCGGUCCGGCCGGGAACUCAAAGGAGACUGCCAGUGAUAAACUGGAGGAAGGUGGGGAUGACGUCAAGUCAUCAUGGCCCUUACGAGUAGGGCUACACACGUGCUACAAUGGCGCAUACAAAGAGAAGCGACCUCGCGAGAGCAAGCGGACCUCAUAAAGUGCGUCGUAGUCCGGAUAUGAUUCUGUUACUCGACAAACUGGAGUCCCGAAACGCUAAAAAUCUAGAUGAAAAUG